UAGGGAAUAUUGGUCAAUGGAUGCAAGUCUGAACCAGCCAUGCCGCGUGCAGGAAGAAGGCCUUCUGGGUUGUAAACUGCUUUUGCCAGGGGAUAAAAUGGGCGUGCGCGCUUAAUUGAAGGUACCUGGUGAAUAAGCCACGGCUAACUACGUGCCAGCAGCCGCGGUAAUACGUAGGUGGCAAGCGUUGUCCGGAUUUAUUGGGUUUAAAGGGUGCGUAGGCGGCGAUCUAAGUCAGUGCUGAAAUAUCCCGGCUUAACCGGGAGGGUGGCAUUGAUACUGGGUUGCUUGAGUAAAGUUGAGGUAGGCGGAAUUGACGGUGUAGCGGUGAAAUGCUUAGAUAUCGUCAAGAACACCAAUAGUGAAGACAGCUUACUAAACUUUAACUGACGCUGAGGCACGAAAGUGUGGGGAUCAAAC
RNAcentral lists this ribosomal RNA (420 nucleotides) under uncultured bacterium. RNAcentral's name for it is "bacterial SSU rRNA". It matches the Rfam family "Bacterial small subunit ribosomal RNA", at positions 355 to 773 of the family's 1533-position model. The record is from RNAcentral.